Cygnus olor (mute swan) is the source of this 928-nucleotide long non-coding RNA. RefSeq lists it as uncharacterized. NCBI's taxonomy places the organism in Eukaryota, Metazoa, Chordata, Aves, Anseriformes, Anatidae. The record is from RefSeq and is a predicted model, not a curated record. The transcript has 3 exons.
CCCUAAUUAAAAGAUGUUUUUCAGGGAGCUUCAGCUUAACAGAGUGACUGCUUUGUCUUAAUUAUUUUCUCUCAGUGUAUAUUUAUGUGGGUGUUUGUCUCUCACUGGUCUGUACUCUGUGAGUGAAUUGUGCUAUCUGUAUUGCUAAUAAAAAGCCAGCUGUAGUUCCAAGAGAAAGGUGCGUGUUAAACUACAGGCCUGCUUGCCAAGCUUCUUACUUCAUCAGGUGUUAUUCUGUUCCAGUUUCAAGCCCUGUUCCUGAUUGCAUCUCCAGGAGAUGAGGGAGUGAUUGUUUGGAAAACUUAGGAAGGAAAAUAGGCUUAGUGGAAUGUGAGGUGAGCUGAAUCUGUGGGAGAGGUGUACAUACAACUGAGAAGCUGCUUAAGAUUCCCUGUGCAGAAACUUAAGAGGUACAAGAGGUACAAGGUACAACCGUGGGCUGCUCGUGAUCAAGCUUGAUGAAUAUAGAAAUAUUUAACUUUGUAAUCCAGCCAAAUCUCUGCCAUUCCUCACGGGCCAUGUUCCUAAAUUAAAGAUGCCAGGGUACUUGGUCACCUUUCUGACAGCACACUCAUAGGCUCCAGUGUCUUCAGGAACACAAGAGUAUGAAUGACUUCAUAUUCUCAUUCUUUUCGACAUUCUCACAUUCUUUUGGACAUUGGAGAAUAUCUACCGCUCCCAACUGCUGGAAUUUUAUGAUGUUUAUUUUUGUUUACUUGACAUUUAUACUGAAGACACCACAACAGCUUGUUUAUCAUUGUCCUGAAUACAGUUCAAGUAAAUGCCAGACCCCCUCUUCUCAAUAUCUGAUGUUCAAGCUUGAUUUUGAUGCUGUGAUUUUGUCACAUGAAAGCCAGACAAAAAGACACUGCAACUUUAUAUUUCAGGUGGAAAUUCCACAAUUGUCUUAAGGUGUUUUUUGGUUCCU